This is a long non-coding RNA of Arachis ipaensis, 2200 nucleotides long. RefSeq lists it as uncharacterized. The record is from RefSeq and is a predicted model, not a curated record. Lineage: Eukaryota; Viridiplantae; Streptophyta; Magnoliopsida; Fabales; Fabaceae.
GUGCAUAUUACCAUCAUCAUCUCCAUCUUCUUCACCAUCGUCACCAUCCAUCACUGUCUCUUCCCAGCCACCAUAACCUCCAUCACCAUCACCUCAGCACCGCCACGGCCACCUCCUUUUACCAUAACCUCCGGCGACAACCCACACCGCCGCACCGCUUUCUCUUUUUCUUCCCCUCUUUUCACUUCCGCUGAGCCUAGAAACCACUGCGCCAGCUCCUCCUCUCCACCAAAGCCCAGAAUGGCAGCGGCCACCUUUUCCUCCCUCUCUUUCACUGGCCGAACCGCUGCGCCGUCGAUGAGCCACAGCGACACCGACAAUGAGCCCCUUUUUCCCUUUCUUCUUCCUUCUCUGUCAUCCCGUCUCACCAUCACCAACCAGCCUAGCACCGUCGCAAUUCCAGCCCCGUUUCUCGUUCACACCCUUCCCCUCUUCUCACCUCUGCCAAGCCCAGAAACCACAGCUACCUUCCCAAGCCCUGUCACCUUCGCGCUAAUCCACAGCCCCGUGACCCUCCUCUUCGCGAUAUCACGUCCAGCCUCCUUCUUCUUCCCCUCCUGUCCGAACCUAGCCUCGCCUCAGCUUCCAGUCAUCACCACAGCAGCCGGCGUCUGUACCCACAACGGACACAGAGCCACCACAUCUCUCUCUCUUUCUUCUUCUUCCCCUCGCUUCACCUCAGCCGAGCCCAGAACCCACCGUACCACCACAACGCCACCGCACAUCCCCAUCGCACAGCCCUCCUUUCUUCUCCCAUCGCCGCCGGUUCUCCUUUGCUCUGUGCGAGACCCACCACCUCCGCGAAGCUCUCUCUCCCUCUGUCAUUAGUUCCCUAACCGCUAGCCACCAACAACCUCCUCUUCACCGGACCAACACGACGGCGAGCUUCUCUUUUGCCUCCCUGUUCGCCGCUAGGACUCCACCUAGAACAACCGAGGCCACUCCUCUUCCUCUCCUUUCCUGUUUCGAAUGUUUGUUCAGCAUUUCAGCAUCACCAUCACUCUUGCAGCCACCCUAUCGCCUAACCCACCAGCUGAAGGUGGAGGUGACACAAUGACGACUCCUUCUACUCCGCAUGAUCUUGAGCACCAUGGACGGUGCUACGUCUUAAGUGUGGGGAGGUUGUCCUUUAACAAGCAUAUUUUGGGUGACAAUUUUAUUUCCGAACACUUGUAGUUUAGUUUUUAUUAUUAUUAUGCUUUUUAGUUGUUUUGUAUAUAUUUUAUCUUUUGAAAACCUUUUUACUUAGUUAUUGCACUUUCUUAGUUUAUUGCACUUAUUAAUUUUGCUUGUACAUAACUUAGUAUUAUAUAGUAGUUAUGCAUAUUUUGACAUUUUGCUCUUAAUUUUGGCUUGUACAUAUGUUUUUUUUUUUUUUUAAUCUUGAUUGUGAUUUGGAUGAUGUGAUGAUUGCACCUAGUUUGAUUUCCUAUACACUUGUUAUUUUGGUUUGUUUGAAAUUAGGAAUUAAACUUAGGAUUUUUUAUCUUUUUCAUCCAAUCACGUUAUAUACAUAUAUAGAAUAAAUGUUAGUCAAUUUAAUGAAAUUUUCAAGAAGCUUACUUUUUAUUUAGGGCAUUAAAAUUCAAAUUGAAUUGAGUUAAAAUUUUUCAUUGAAACUUGCAUGACUUAUACAUUGUGGAAUAUGGUUUUUGAGUUAAAGAACAUACAACUUGUGAGCUUUUGAGCCUUAUUGUGUGGUUACAUCAUUUGACCACUUAUUUCAUUCUUGUGUGUUGCUCUUCUUUAUGAUUGCAAUAUUUGGUUUGUUUAAUUCUAUAUGUCCAUUGUUUAAUGUAUAUUUAUGCAUUUAUGUGAUUGAGGCCAUUAUUUCUUUAUAGCUCACUUAACCCAAAUAGCCUACCAUUUCAUUCACCUUUGUUUGUCACUUUGAGCUUUUUUAAUCCCCUUUUGUUCUUUAUUUUGCCACAUCAUUAACCUUAAGCGAAAAAUAAUGAAGUGUCUCUUAUUUGAAUCUUUGAGUAGCUUAAAUUAGUGAGAGUGUGUAAUGUUUAAGUGUGGGGAAAAUGUGGGAACUUUAGGUGAUGAAAAUGUGUUUUAUGCUUAUUGAAAAAUCUUGAAAAUUUAGGGUGCAUACUAAUGUAAUAUUAUAGAAACCAUAUGCAUUGGUGAGUUGGUAUAUAUAUCAUGUUGAAAAAAAAAAGAAAAGAAAAGAAAUAAUGAAAAGGGGACAAAAUUA